GGAGCCCCAUCCCCGAAAUGAGUGGCGCUGCCGGAGGCGAGCCGGAAGUGAGGGGCGUGGCCGCACCUAGGGCCACGCCCACAGCGGAGCAGCUCAGGUUACACCUCGAGGGCGGCCGGAAGUGGCUAUUUUGGACGGGUCUCUGCCGGAAGUGGUGGUUCCUGGGGCUUUGCCACCUGGCUGCGAAUACCGCCCUGUCCGGCCGAGGGUCUCGGAGAGGGUCAUCUCACACCUACCUCGGCGGCGUGGCUAUGCCACGUGCCCGCUCCCAUCCCACAGACUUUAUCCAGGCCCAGGGGCCAGCGCUGGGACUAAUAGAGAUGGCCAUCCCCAAAUGGAUCGAAAUGUCCAGGUACAUCUGACGGAUUUGAAACACUGAACCUCACCCAGUGUUCCCGAUUAUAAGCCGUCACGAGGGCAUCACAGGGAACCCUAAUUCCUUGGCCUGCCUCCUCUGAUUCACCACGGCGCAGCAGGGCUAGUACAUUGCGGGGAAGAGCUCCCUUCAGAGAAGAAACAAUGAACGCUAGAUACCCAGGAGCUGGUGGUCCAUCAUAGUGAUGCAAUCCUGCCAGGCAGGCCAUGUGAGGUCCUUCUGCCCUUGGCCAGAUCCUGAUUUUGCUCUAAAGGAGGAGCCCCUUGUACAGGAUCUCUUACACAGAGACAAUGAGCAAACCAUAUAUGCAAAUAAAUUUCUGACCCACCAUCUGCAUGAGCUGUCCAGAAAACCAAUGCCUUUAUCCAUGAUAAACGCCCUGGAAGCCAGCCUGCUGUCAGGCUCAGAAGAAACCACGUUCCUAUCUCUAGCAACAGUGCAGGAAGCGAAACAAUCACUUUUGUAACCAUCAGCCCAAUAUGGCCAGGACCUGAUGAUGAACUGCCAGCCUCCCCAAUUUUUGUCCCUCUUUCCAAUUUAGGACCAAUGAGAGAAAGUCAAAUAUGCCCCCCUAACUGAUCACAUGGGCUACCCCACUUUUAGUGAGCCCCCUUCCAGCUCCCCAAGUCAACAGUCUCCAGCCAGGGCAUACCUGACGGGUCUCCCCCACACCCAUGAAGCUUCCCCACUCCUCUGAGUGUCUGCCAGAUGGAAAUGAUGCUGACUGACCCCUUUGCUACACCCAGCUGUGAAUCAGUAGCCUCUGCUUGCUCUCCUUUGGGAGCUCCUUGUUUAUUUCCUCACAUUCCAUUCACCUCUGACCACAACAGAAGCAACCCUCCUUGGGAGUGGCAGAAUCUUCCCACACCCUUGCUCGCACCUGAACAAAGACAGCCCUGCCUGCACACCUGUGUGGAGGCCUAGCUUGCUGAAUGCCUUCCUGCACUCUAGAACAAAGAAGCCUUCAUCUUCCACUACCUGUGGGUUUUCUUCUGGCCAAGAGACACAUCUGCAGGCUAUGUUUUCUGGAAGUCAGACUCUGAGAUGCUGGAUUCGUGCGCAGG
This is a long non-coding RNA of Bos taurus (domestic cattle), 1440 nucleotides long. The record is from Ensembl. NCBI's taxonomy places the organism in Eukaryota, Metazoa, Chordata, Mammalia, Artiodactyla, Bovidae.